CGCUCGGAUACGAUGAUGCAUAAUUGACAUCUCGGAAGCACAUACCUGACUUACGAUCGUCAUUGGAGCAUUGCAGAAACACCCAGAACUCUGAGACAAGAGGAGCAACUACUGGUUUCUGCAGCUGAAGCAUAGAGUGGAUUAAACAGGGAUCAGACCUAGCCGCGGCUGUUGUGACUUCACUCACUUCCUGUUGAUUUUCUGGGUUUAGGCUCUGUAUAAAAACUAAUUUUUGGUUCACCAGUGUUCAGGAUGUCUGUAGUUGUCACCUAUUUUCUGCUAAAAGGAGAGAAUUCGACACUACUUUUCGACUUCGUAGAUACGGUGACUACACGUUGGUGAAGGUCAUAAACUGAGAACUACUUUGUUGAAGAGAUAUUAGGAAAUACACUAAACCAUCAACAUCAUUACCGGAGACCAUGAACAAAUAGAAACAUGAUAGUACAGUUGAGUCUUUUGGUGCGCACAGUACAGGGAGAGACUUCUCAGAAGGGGCAAAUAGAGGUUUCUUUUGUGACAAACUGGUAUUUUGCAAAUCAAAAUUGCUGCAAGCAAGAAGGCAGGGUCCGGUCUCUAGGAAGAAGUAUAUGUGGCUGGAUAUUGAGAAUAGGAGCUCCAUGUUUGGUUUUCAGUUGCCUGGUGCCUGGUUACAUGCUUCUUGAUAGGUUCGACGGUGUUUUUGGAGUUCAUAUAUGACAUCUAUAGGGAUGUACUUGAGGUUUCCAGUUGUGGUUACACUUCUGAUUUGCCUGACACAUGAAUCUCUCUCAUUUGAAUAUCAGAAACCUUUUCCUCUUGUUGAAGAAAUUUCAAACACUGCUCAAAUUCGUGUAUCAAAUGAAGCACAUGAGGCAUUCGCAAAUAUAACAUUUCCAAUUGCAGUUGUAUCUGUAAGUCUAUUAGCUUGGUUGUUAUAAAUUGAUAACUAUAUCUAUAUCAAAAUAUCCUUUACAAUUGUUUGUUCUUCCCCAAUCUGCUCUUACCUUAGGUGAUUGGGCCAAAGGCCUCGGGAAAGUCAUUUUUCUUGAAUAAAUUGCUCCAGCUUUCUUGCAAUGAAGGUAAAAGCUUCUUGCCUAUUAUAAAUUUUCAAUUUAAGCCUUUAAUCCCAUUUAUGUUUGUUUAACUGAAUUUUGAACUGAAAUGCUCUUCAACUCUAGGCUUCAAUGUGGGGGACCUUCAUGGCAGGAGUAGAAAAGGAAUAUGGGGAGUGUUGAUAAAUAUAAAGAUUGAGGGAGCUCAAAGUGUUGUGUUAUAUCUUGACACUGAUGCCGUGGACAGGGUUGGAAAUACUGAGUUCUAUGAUGAC
Argentina anserina (silverweed cinquefoil) is the source of this 1306-nucleotide long non-coding RNA. RefSeq lists it as uncharacterized. NCBI's taxonomy places the organism in Eukaryota, Viridiplantae, Streptophyta, Magnoliopsida, Rosales, Rosaceae. The record is from RefSeq and is a predicted model, not a curated record. The transcript has 9 exons.